GCCAGUUGUUCAAGGAUGCAUUUGUCAUGUUCUAGCACCUGGUGGGCUGCCGUCUAUGGGGUCGCACAGAGUCAGACACGACUGAAGUGACUUAGCAGCAGCAGCAGCUCUUCUUUUCUAGUUGUGUCACCAUCAUUGGCUGUAAAACUAAGCAGCUUACAACCAACAACCGUGAUCUUCUCAUCUGUGCCAACUCGGGUGGAGUAAGGAAGCAACUGUAGCAUCAAAGUUUCCUCAGGACUGAUGUCAAAAGAGCUAAAACUGCUUAAAAAAAAUAAGGCUCAAGAAUUUAAACCGACAAUACAACCCAAAGCAUUAUCAAUCUAAGGAGCAGACCACAAACUGUAAGGACCAUUUGAAUAUUAAUCUCAAGCAAUUUCCUUACCACUCCAUCUUGAUGAGCCAGUGCAUUCUUCAAUGGAGGCAGAUGGCAAAACAACAAAACCCAACUAACUACAAGCAAUUUAUGAUGACUAAAGAAUACAAUAUGAGUACACAGUUCUCUGAGGUUUAUGUUUGAUCCUACCCUAAAAUUUAAAACAUCAAGAGGAAUUCAAAAUGGUCAUGUAUGGAUGUGAGAGUUGGACUAUAAAGAAAGCUGAGCACUGAAGAAUUGAUGUUUUGAAUUGUGGUGUUGGA
This is a long non-coding RNA of Bos taurus (domestic cattle), 639 nucleotides long. NCBI's taxonomy places the organism in Eukaryota, Metazoa, Chordata, Mammalia, Artiodactyla, Bovidae. The record is from Ensembl.